CCCUUAGACGUUCUGGGCCGCACGCGCGCUACACUGACUAGUCCAACGAGUGUUUGUACCUUUGCUGAUAGGCAUGGGCAAUCUCUGAACGCUAGUCGUGAUAGGGAUCGAUUUUUGGAAUUAUUAAUCGUCAACGAGGAAUUCCUAGUAAACGCGAGUCAUCAGCUCGCAUUGAUUACGUCCCUGCCCUUUGUACACACCGCCCGUCGCACCUACCGAUUGAAUGGUCCGGUGAAGCCUCCGGAUUGGACGUGCUGACCCUGUCAGCCGGCCGAGAAGUUGGCUAAAUCUUACCAUUUAGAGGAAGGUGAANUCGUANCA
RNAcentral lists this ribosomal RNA (321 nucleotides) under uncultured eukaryote. RNAcentral's name for it is "partial 18S ribosomal RNA". It matches the Rfam family "Eukaryotic small subunit ribosomal RNA", at positions 1470 to 1796 of the family's 1831-position model. The record is from RNAcentral.